RNAcentral lists this ribosomal RNA (484 nucleotides) under uncultured bacterium. RNAcentral's name for it is "partial 16S ribosomal RNA". It matches the Rfam family "Bacterial small subunit ribosomal RNA", at positions 30 to 507 of the family's 1533-position model. The record is from RNAcentral.
AUUGAACGCUAGCGGGAUGCUUUACACAUGCAAGUCGAACGGCAGCGCGGACUUCGGUCUGGCGGCGAGUGGCGAACGGGUGAGUAAUGUAUCGGAACGUGCCCAGUAGCGGGGGAUAACUACGCGAAGGCGUAGCUAAUACCGCAUACGCCCUACGGGGGAAAGCAGGGGAUCGUAAGACCUUGCACUAUUGGAGCGGCCGAUAUCGGAUUAGCUAGUUGGUGAGGUAACGGCUCACCAAGGCGACGAUCCGUAGCUGGUUUGAGAGGACGACCAGCCACACUGGGACUGAGACACGGCCCAGACUCCUACGGGAGGCAGCAGUGGGGAAUUUUGGACAAUGGGGGCAACCCUGAUCCAGCCAUCCCGCGUGUGCAAUGAAGGCCUUCGGGUUGUAAAGCACUUUUGGCAGGAAAGAAACGUCGCGGGCUAAUACCCCGUGGAACUGACGGUACCUGCAGAAUAAGCACCGGCUAACUACGUG